Mycena galericulata is the source of this 92-nucleotide non-coding RNA. Lineage: Eukaryota; Fungi; Basidiomycota; Agaricomycetes; Agaricales; Mycenaceae. The record is from the annotation of a GenBank genome assembly.
GGCCCAGUGGUGUAUUGGUAACACAUUCUCUUUAUCUGCAUGGCAAAAGCACAAGUCAGAGGAAGCACCCUGUUUGAUUCGGGGCUGGGCCA